This 514-nucleotide ribosomal RNA is filed under the name uncultured bacterium. RNAcentral describes it as "bacterial SSU rRNA". It matches the Rfam family "Bacterial small subunit ribosomal RNA", at positions 53 to 559 of the family's 1533-position model. The record is from RNAcentral.
ACAUGCAGUUGUGGGGCAGCAGCUCUGUAGCAAUACAGAGGCUGGCGACCGGCAAACGGGUGCGGAACACGUACGCAACCUACCCAAAACUGAGGAAUAGCCCGGGGAAACCCGGAUUAAUACUUCGUAACAUAAUGAAGUGGCAUCACUUUAUUAUUAUAGCUCAGGCGGUUUUGGAUGGGCGUGCGGCUGAUUAGGUAGUUGGUGAGGUAACGGCCCACCAAGCCUGCGAUCAGUAACUGGUGUGAGAGCACGACCAGUCACACGGGCACUGAGACACGGGCCCGACUCCUACGGGAGGCAGCAGUAAGGAAUAUUGGUCAAUGGACGCAAGUCUGAACCAGCCAUGCCGCGUGGAGGAUGAAGGUCCUCUGGAUUGUAAACUUCUUUUAUCUGGGAAGAAAUCCCCGAAUUCUUUCGGGGUUGACGGUACCAGGUGAAUAAGCACCGGCUAACUCUGUGCCAGCAGCCGCGGUAAUACGGAGGGUGCAAGCGUUAUCCGGAUUCACUGGGU